RNAcentral lists this ribosomal RNA (254 nucleotides) under uncultured bacterium. Its description in RNAcentral is "partial 16S ribosomal RNA". It matches the Rfam family "Bacterial small subunit ribosomal RNA", at positions 524 to 776 of the family's 1533-position model. The record is from RNAcentral.
UACGGGGGGAGCAAGCGUUGUUCGGAUUUACUGGGCGUAAAGCGUGCGCAGGCGGUCUGUUAAGACCGAUGUGAAAUCCCCGGGCUUAACCUGGGAACUGCAUUGGUGACUGGCAGGCUUUGAGUGUGGCAGAGGGAGGUAGAAUUCCACGUGUAGCAGUGAAAUGCGUAGAGAUGUGGAGGAACACCGGUGGCGAAGGCGGCAUCCUGGACCGGUAUUGACGCUGAGGCGCGAAAGCCAGGGGAGCAAACGGG